This 338-nucleotide ribosomal RNA is filed under the name uncultured bacterium. RNAcentral's name for it is "bacterial SSU rRNA". It matches the Rfam family "Bacterial small subunit ribosomal RNA", at positions 1167 to 1505 of the family's 1533-position model. The record is from RNAcentral.
AGGAAGGUGGGGAUGACGUCAAGUCCUCAUGGCCCUUAUGUCCUGGGCUACACACGUGCUACAAUGGCGGUGACAGUGGGAAGCCAGGCAGCGAUGCCGAGCUGAUCCUCAAAAGCCGUCUCAGUUCGGAUUGCACUCUGCAACUCGGGUGCAUGAAGGUGGAAUCGCUAGUAAUCGUGGAUCAGCAUGCCACGGUGAAUACGUUCCCGGGCCUUGUACACACCGCCCGUCACACCAUGGGAUUUGGUUUGACCUUAAGUUGGUGCGCUAACCGCAAGGAGGCAGCCAACCACGGUCGGGUUAGAGACUGGGGUGAAGUCGUAACAAGGUAGCCGUAA